GAUGAACGCUGGCGGCGUGCCUAAUACAUGCAAGUCGAGCGAACAGAUGAGGAGCUUGCUCCUCUGACGUUAGCGGCGGACGGGUGAGUAACACGUGGAUAACCUACCUAUAAGACUGGGAUAACUUCGGGAAACCGGAGCUAAUACCGGAUAAUAUAUUGAACCGCAUGGUUCAAUAGUGAAAGACGGUUUUGCUGUCACUUAUAGAUGGAUCCGCGCCGCAUUAGCUAGUUGGUAAGGUAACGGCUUACCAAGGCAACGAUGCGUAGCCGACCUGAGAGGGUGAUCGGCCGCACUGGAACUGAGACACGGUCCAGAGGCCUACGGGAGGCAGCAGUAGGGAAUCUUCCGCAAUGGGCGAAAGCCUGACGGAGCAACGCCGCGUGAGUGAUGAAGGUCUUCGGAUCGUAAAACUCUGUUAUUAGGGAAGAACAAAUGCGUAAGUAACUAUGCACGUCUUGACGGUACCUAAUCAGAAAGCCACGGCUAACUACGUG
RNAcentral lists this ribosomal RNA (497 nucleotides) under uncultured bacterium. RNAcentral describes it as "partial 16S ribosomal RNA". It matches the Rfam family "Bacterial small subunit ribosomal RNA", at positions 28 to 507 of the family's 1533-position model. The record is from RNAcentral.